CUACCACCGGGAUGUUCAUAACCCUUUGUUGUCCGACUCUGUUGCCUCCGGGGCGACCCUGCCUUCGGGCGGGGGCUCCGGGUGGACACUUCAAACUCUUGCGUAACUUUGCAGUCUGAGUAAACUUAAUUAAUAAAUUAAAACUUUUAACAACGGAUCUCUUGGUUCUGGCAUCGAUGAAGAACGCAGCGAAAUGCGAUAAGUAAUGUGAAUUGCAGAAUUCAGUGAAUCAUCGAAUCUUUGAACGCACAUUGCGCCCCCUGGUAUUCCGGGGGGCAUGCCUGUUCGAGCGUCAUUUCACCACUCAAGCCUCGCUUGGUAUUGGGCAACGCGGUCCGCCGCGUGCCUCAAAUCGACCGGCUGGGUCUUCUGUCCCCUAAGCGUUGUGGAAACUAUUCGCUAAAGGGUGUUCGGGAGGCUACGCCGUAAAACAACCCCAU
RNAcentral lists this ribosomal RNA (440 nucleotides) under Cladosporium cladosporioides. Its description in RNAcentral is "eukaryotic LSU rRNA". The stretch from base 142 to 295 matches the Rfam family "5.8S ribosomal RNA". The record is from RNAcentral. Lineage: Eukaryota; Fungi; Ascomycota; Dothideomycetes; Cladosporiales; Cladosporiaceae.